GACGAACCGUGCGAACGUUAUUCGGAAUCACUGGGCUUAAAGGGCGCGUAGGCGGGCCGAAAAGCCAGGGGUGAAAUCCUCCAGCCCAACUGGAGAAGCGCCUUUGGAACUGGCGGCCUCGAGGGGUGCAGGGGCAUGCGGAACUCAGGGUGGAGCGGUGAAAUGCGUAGAUAUCCUGAGGAACACCGGUGUCGAAAGCGGCGUGCUGGACACCUUCUGACGCUGAGGCGCGAAAGCCAGGGGAGCGAACGGG
This 253-nucleotide ribosomal RNA is filed under the name uncultured bacterium. RNAcentral's name for it is "partial 16S ribosomal RNA". It matches the Rfam family "Bacterial small subunit ribosomal RNA", at positions 524 to 776 of the family's 1533-position model. The record is from RNAcentral.